UCACGACUUACGACGGCAGUUUCUUCAGAGUUCCCGACAUUACUCGCUGGCAACUGAAAAUAGGGGUUGCGCUCGUUGCGGGACUUAACCCAACACCUCACGGCACGAGCUGACGACGGCCAUGCAGCACCUUACUACCUGUAUAUUGCUAUAAAAACACCUUUCGGCAUCGGUCAGGCAGCAUUCUAGCCCAGGUAAGGUUCCUCGCGUAUCAUCGAAUUAAACCACACGCUCCACCGCUUGUGCGGACCCCCGUCAAUUCCUUUGAGUUUCAACCUUGCGGUCGUACUUCCCAGGUGGAUUACUUAAUGCUUUCGCUCAGACACACACUGUGUAUCGCGUAUGUCGAGUAAUCAUCGUUUAGGGCGUGGACUAC
This 376-nucleotide unclassified non-coding RNA is filed under the name uncultured Chitinophagaceae bacterium. Its description in RNAcentral is "contains 16S-23S intergenic spacer region". Lineage: Bacteria; Pseudomonadati; Bacteroidota; Chitinophagia; Chitinophagales; Chitinophagaceae. The record is from RNAcentral.